CAGCCGCCACGGGAAUACGUAGGUGGCAAGCGUUGUCCGGAAUUAUUGGGCCUAAAGGGCUCGCAGGCGGUUUCUUAAGUCUGAUGUGAAAGCCCCCGGCUCAACCGAGGAGGGUCAUUGGAAACUGGGAAACUUGAGUGCAGAAGAGGAGAGUGGAAUUCCACGUGUAGCGGUGAAAUGCGUAGAGAUGUGGAGGAACACCAGUGGCGAAGGCGACUCUCUGGUCUGUAACUGACGCUGAGGAGCGAAAGCGUGGGGAGCGAACAGGAUUAGAUACCCCUGUAGUCCCUGUCUCUUAUAC
RNAcentral lists this ribosomal RNA (301 nucleotides) under uncultured bacterium. RNAcentral describes it as "partial 16S ribosomal RNA". It matches the Rfam family "Bacterial small subunit ribosomal RNA", at positions 509 to 807 of the family's 1533-position model. The record is from RNAcentral.